AGGUCAAGUGAAGAAGGGCGCACGGUGAAUGCCUUGGCACUGGAAGCCGAUGAAGGACGCGACUAACCGCGAAAGUCUUCGGGGAGCCGUAAGUAGGCUUUGAUCCGGAGGUCUCCGAAUGGGGGAACCCAGCAUGUGCAGACAUGCUAUCCUUAAGUGAAUACAUAGCUUAAGGAGGGAACACGCAGUGAACUGAAACAUCUAAGUAGCUGCAGGAAGAGAAAGAAAUAUCGAUUUCCCAAGUAGCGGCGAGCGAACAGGAAAGAGCCCAAACCGGCAGAUUUAUCUGCCGGGGUUGUAGGACUGAGACAUGGCACU
This 318-nucleotide ribosomal RNA is filed under the name Lactobacillus delbrueckii subsp. bulgaricus. RNAcentral's name for it is "partial 23S ribosomal RNA". It matches the Rfam family "Bacterial large subunit ribosomal RNA", at positions 1 to 320 of the family's 2925-position model. The record is from RNAcentral. Lineage: Bacteria; Bacillati; Bacillota; Bacilli; Lactobacillales; Lactobacillaceae.